RNAcentral lists this unclassified non-coding RNA (469 nucleotides) under Athalia rosae (coleseed sawfly). RNAcentral describes it as "misc RNA ENSAEAG00005008532.1". Lineage: Eukaryota; Metazoa; Arthropoda; Insecta; Hymenoptera; Athaliidae. The record is from RNAcentral.
ACCAGUAUCGGUUGUUUGGAUAAAGGACGAAGAAUUUAUUCGCGGAGAGUGCGGGUUUCGGAUGGGAUCGGAUGUUCAUCAUGACGCCAAGUGCUGCGUCGUAGUUGGUAAUUGAUUGUUGCUCAAUUAGUGCUGCUCUUGAGGACCUGAACAAGAAGUUCGAGCUCUGAUUAUGAGUAAUUUGCAAGGAGUCUGGAACCAUUGGUCGUGGUGUUGUCGUCAGUCGAGAAAUGUCCUUGUGAUCCCUGCGUAGCAGAGUUACUCUGGUUAUUACCGACAAAGCUUAAGGGAUGCUGUAGGAAACACCUCUUGAAUAAAUGUGCAGUCAUAAAGAAGAGAAGAAGCACGUAUAACCAUCGCCCGUAUAGCAAGUGCAGAAGUCAAUUAGCAGAGUGGAAUCGGGAGUAUAAGUCGUUAUAAGCCAGGGAUGAAAUUGAGACAGAUGAAGGUUGAAUCCCGUUGAUUAUUG